Molecule: ribosomal RNA, 261 nt
Filed under: uncultured bacterium
Lineage: Bacteria
Description: partial 16S ribosomal RNA
Rfam family: Bacterial small subunit ribosomal RNA
Source: RNAcentral
UUGGCGGACGGGUGAGUAACGGCGUGGGGAACCUGCCCUGUACAGGGGGAUAACACGUUAGAAAUAGGUGCUAAUACCGCAUAAGCGCACAGUAUCGCAUGAUACAGUGUGAAAAACUCCGGUGGUACAGGAUGGACCCGCGUCUGAUUAGCUGGUUGGCGGGGUAACGGCCCACCAAGGCGACGAUCAGUAGCCGGCCUGAGAGGGUGAACGGCCACAUUGGGACUGAGACACGGCCCAAACUCCUACGGAAGGCAGCAG